AACACUGUUAACCUGCGGUACCUGCGGAGGGAUCAUUACCGAGUGCGGGCCCUCUGGGUCCAACCUCCCACCCGUGUUUAUUGUACCUUGUUGCUUCGGCGGGCCCGCCAUUCUGGCCGCAAAGGGGCACCUGCCCCUACGCCCGCGCCCGCCGAAGACAUCUCGAACUCUGUCUGAAGAUUGAAGUCUGAGUGGGAUUACAAAUUAGUUAAAACUUUCAACAACGGAUCUCAGAUCGGA
RNAcentral lists this unclassified non-coding RNA (240 nucleotides) under soil metagenome. Its description in RNAcentral is "partial contains 5.8S ribosomal RNA, internal transcribed spacer 2, and large subunit ribosomal RNA". The record is from RNAcentral.